RNAcentral lists this ribosomal RNA (497 nucleotides) under uncultured bacterium. RNAcentral describes it as "partial 16S ribosomal RNA". It matches the Rfam family "Bacterial small subunit ribosomal RNA", at positions 28 to 507 of the family's 1533-position model. The record is from RNAcentral.
GAUGAACGCUGGCGGCGUGCCUAAUACAUGCAAGUCGAGCGAACAGACGAGGAGCUUGCUCCUCUGACGUUAGCGGCGGACGGGUGAGUAACACGUGGAUAACCUACCUAUAAGACUGGGAUAACUUCGGGAAACCGGAGCUAAUACCGGAUAAUAUAUUGAACCGCAUGGUUCAAUAGUGAAAGACGGUUUUGCUGUCACUUAUAGAUGGAUCCGCGCCGCAUUAGCUAGUUGGUAAGGUAACGGCUUACCAAGGCAACGAUGCGUAGCCGACCUGAGAGGGUGAUCGGCCACACUGGAACUGAGCCACGGUCCAGACUCCUACGGGAGGCAGCAGAAGGGAAUCUUCCGCAAUGGGCGAAAGCUUGACGGAGCAACGCCGCGUGAGUGAUGAAGGUCUUCGGAUCGUAAAACUCUGUUAUUAGGGAAGAACAAAUGUGUAAGUAACUAUGCACGUCUUGACGGUACCUAAUCAGAAAGCCACGGCUAACUACGUG